GGGGAUGUAGCUCAGUGGUAGAGCGUCCGCUUCGCAUGCGGAAGGCCGGGGUUCGAUCCCCCGCAUCUCCA
This 71-nucleotide transfer RNA is filed under the name Nematostella vectensis (starlet sea anemone). It matches the Rfam family "tRNA". From Rfam's summary of the family: Transfer RNA (tRNA) molecules are approximately 80 nucleotides in length. Their secondary structure includes four short double-helical elements and three loops (D, anti-codon, and T loops). Lineage: Eukaryota; Metazoa; Cnidaria; Anthozoa; Actiniaria; Edwardsiidae. The record is from Rfam by way of RNAcentral.